UUUCAAUGAUGAAAUGAAAAAUUUUUGACAAGCAUAUGUCUGAAAUAAAAUUUGAUGAUAUUUAGUAUCUGAGAAA
This is a small nucleolar RNA of Plasmodium gallinaceum, 76 nucleotides long. RefSeq annotates it as small nucleolar RNA SNORD27. The transcript has a single exon. NCBI's taxonomy places the organism in Eukaryota, Apicomplexa, Aconoidasida, Haemosporida, Plasmodiidae. The record is from RefSeq and is a predicted model, not a curated record.